GUGCUCACUUUGGCAGCAUAUAUACUGAAAUUGGAACGAUACAGAGAUUAGCAUGGCCCCUGUGCAAGGAUGACACGCAAAUUCAUGAAGCGUUCCAUAUUUUU
Molecule: small nuclear RNA, 104 nt
Organism: Sorex fumeus (smoky shrew)
Lineage: Eukaryota; Metazoa; Chordata; Mammalia; Eulipotyphla; Soricidae
Source: RefSeq, a predicted model, not a curated record